AUGGACCUGAGGAUACUUUCCCUAAAUUAUCGACUAUGACUAAACAAUGCAAAUGUAAUCCCAUCAGGAUUCCAAGCCAGAAAUCUGGUCCAU
RNAcentral lists this small nucleolar RNA (93 nucleotides) under Hordeum vulgare subsp. vulgare (domesticated barley). Its description in RNAcentral is "Small nucleolar RNA Z103". It matches the Rfam family "Small nucleolar RNA Z103". From Rfam's summary of the family: This family consists of several snoRNA Z103 sequences which are members of the C/D class of snoRNA which contain the C (UGAUGA) and D (CUGA) box motifs. This family seems to be found exclusively in plants. C/D box small nucleolar RNAs are known to act as a methylation guides for 18S ribosomal RNA. The record is from Rfam by way of RNAcentral. Lineage: Eukaryota; Viridiplantae; Streptophyta; Magnoliopsida; Poales; Poaceae.